AUAAGCAUCAUCGCGGCUUAACUCGACAAUCUACACCUCCUUGUCCCCGCAAUUUCAAUCCGAGUGGUUUCGAGCUUUUCGAUACCAUAUCACCGGCAUCGUCUCCCCCUCGUUUCCCCUUUUGUAGGGACGACACAGAUCCUCCUAGGAAUUCAUCGAAGAAGAACAAUCAGGUGAACCAGUGCUAAAAACUAGACAACAAAAACCCAAACCCAAGAAACAACAUCCCCAAAAUCAUAUCAUGAUGAGGAACACUACAGUAGUGUAAGAUCAAAAGAAGACCCCUGUAAUGGGCCAGCAAUUCCAAUUAUAAUUAAGGACAGUAUCUAUACAGGAUCAAUCAAAUUAGUUAUGGCUGGAAGCGGUUGUGAGAGCGCCUAGAAAGUUGAAGAGGUUUUAAUGGUAAUGUUGUUGCUGCUAUAGAGUUUCUGGUAGCAGAACAACUUGGGCUGAAGAAGGUGCAGCUUUAAAUGAUUCACAUACUUGCCAUGCAAAUGGUUCUUAUGGUAAUUGCGGCACAUGAUGCGGACAUUGGAUCUUGAGUCUCUCUCACUCAUUUUUCCAGAGCCUUUUUUUUCUGUAUAGUAACCAAACAAAUGAGGUCGGAAAGGGUAAAAAGGAGCAGAAACAAGGCAAGACAGGAGUAUCUGCUAAAUCUGCAGCAUCUCGUGGAUCUGAUGGAGUGCCACCUGACAUGGGAGCACUUUGAUAUGAGCUUAGUUAAUCUCAUACAUGCCAAUGCCAUAUGUGGGAUCUUAUCCUUACGUGCUGGCAGUCUCUUGAAAAUGAAUCUGAGUGCUCCAUGCCCUCUGUAACGUUCUCCUUCUUUAUUCUCUGGAUUCCUUAUCCAUCCACAUGUUAAGCAAGCAGGCAGGAUAACCAGCUUCUGCUUUUCAACUCCCAAGUUUACUUUUGAGAUUCCAUGUAAAUAGUUCUUAUGUAUCUUUGGCAAAACAUGAGACUAUACAAACAUAGAAUGAUGAUGGUGAAAAGAUUAGUAACAGAAAUGGUAUAGAUUCUUGUCUAAAUAUGCUACUCUUCA
Hibiscus syriacus is the source of this 1042-nucleotide long non-coding RNA. RefSeq lists it as uncharacterized. NCBI's taxonomy places the organism in Eukaryota, Viridiplantae, Streptophyta, Magnoliopsida, Malvales, Malvaceae. The transcript has 5 exons. The record is from RefSeq and is a predicted model, not a curated record.